Passer domesticus (house sparrow) is the source of this 4910-nucleotide long non-coding RNA. RefSeq lists it as uncharacterized. The transcript has 3 exons. NCBI's taxonomy places the organism in Eukaryota, Metazoa, Chordata, Aves, Passeriformes, Passeridae. The record is from RefSeq and is a predicted model, not a curated record.
ACAACCUGUUAUAUCUCCUCACAACAGCUUAUAAAACACUUCUUCUGGUGGGCCAGAAGAAAACAUGAAGCUGCUGAUCCUGAGCAAGUUGCAAUGUUACCUGGAGCUUCUGUCAUUAAGGGCCAAGUAAGGCUGCAGAGUGCUUGGGUAUAUGAUCAUAGCUACAGAAGUGCCAGUAGAGGCUGUUCUGCCACAAAUGAAACAAAUAAAGUUAGGAAGCUGUGUGGCACAUAGACUCGAGGUAAAUUCUAGAAGGGAUGAAAGGAGGCUGGUGAUAAUGAUGAAAGUAGAGAAUAGAGUUUUCAAAGCAUCAUCACUUGCUAUGAGAAGCAGAGGGGGGACACUUCUGGCAGGUCCAAAAAAAGGUGCCAUGCAUGAUUAAAAUUUCUUGAAAGAACGACAGGGGUGAAAAGGCAAAUGACAGAAAUGGCAAAGCACUAACAAAAAAUAAGCUAAUGUAUAACAAGACAAAGAAGAGGAGCAUGGUUGGAGGGAAGAAAAGGGUUUGAAGUAAGCCACAAAGUAAUAUGAAAUGAAAAGCAACAGGGUAAAUCUUGGCAGAUCUGCGUGACAGGGCAAGGGAUGUGGCUAGGGAAAAAAUGAGGUAGGUGAAACACAGGGCAGAGAAAGGGACAAAAAAAAAGAGAAACAGCUUAUUGAAGAAGAGGAGAAACCUUGAAUGAGGGAAAGAAAAGGAGUAAAGGAGAUGAAGAGAAAAGGAGGAAAGGGGAAGGCAAGUUACUGGGGAGAUGGAGAGAUACCACUUGCACUGGCCUGAAGUCCACACUGGCCUCUUGCUCUCCUGAGACUCAGUACUGCUGGAGCAAGUGGUGUCCAGACACAGCUCAAACUGAUCCCAGAAAGCAAUGCCUUGGGAGCUGCAGGCUCACUGGCUCUGGCUCACCACUGAUAAUGUGGCAAUGCCUUCAACAGGCAUUUUACAGUCUUACCAUGCACUCCACAUGUCUGAUCUAAAGACAGCUUGCACUAGCAAGAUUUGUUUAUGCAAAUGGGUUACUAUUUGGAGAUAAGAAUGAGGCAAAAUUACUGGUUAGGGAAUGGUAGGGACAUGACUAACAACAUGAAGUGAGUCCCUUAGGUAAGGUUAAACAAACAUGAUCUCUAGAUCUUUUACAGUGGAAUCUCUUCUGUUGAGAGCUGUUUGUCUGAAAGGUGGUUUUAAUGCUGUUCAGGGAGAUUUUAGUGUUAAAAGAGAUUUUUUUCCCCCCAGCAGUUAGCUCUGGCAGAACAACAUGGCUCAGCUCCAGGAUAGUCCUUUUCCUAUCGCUCAUCCUCUCUAGUAGAUUCUGCAAGUCUAAUUAGCAACACAGGCUUUGGCCCUUUUGUUGGCACAACGAUGUUUUGACUUUUAGUGAGCUUCUGCAUCAUUCUAGUGACCCCCCCAGAGCUUGGUGGCUUUCCAAGAGCCUGAGCAGUUGGGAAAACAGCAAACAGCUCUCUUGCCAGUGCUCCGGAACUCAGCUCCUUUCUGUAGGAGUUUUGGCACUCUGAACCCAACAGGCAGAAAAAGCCUUGCAAUCUCUGCAGGUUUUGCAGAUGGCUGACUGCAAACUGUGAACGGGUCUGCAAGGGAUUGUGAUCCAAAUCCUACCCUGACCUACACGCUCAUCAUCCCUGGAAGAAUCCUGGAAACCCACAGUCACGAUCCGUGUACACCCGCAGGAUGGAUAACCCUCCAGGUCAUGACAGGCAUCCCUCAGGAUUCUUCCAGCCAACAAAUCUACUAGAAAACCAGGAUGCCUUUAAUAUUGCCAUUUCAGCUUCAAGAAACCUAAACAUUUACAUCAACAGGAAAGCAGAACAACUGAAAAAAAUUCUAGACAAACAAGAAGGAAAAUAGGAUAAUUAUAGAGGUCACCAUCUGGUAUUUCAGCAGCUUCCAGUUUAAUCACACACUGACCCUGGGAUGAACAUUGCUGCUUGACUAAGCCCUCCACUGACUGCAAAGAGUUGGGGGCAUGCUUCCCCAGGAGGAGAUUACCCUGUUACUGCCCACAGCAUGGUUUCUCAGAGUUUCCUGCAAAGCAUUUUGUACUGGACACACUUUUUUGUCCCUGUUAAUCUGAAAACAGGGCUCUGCAUCAGCAGUGAGAGUAGCAGGAUUGGCAGUAGCAAUCCUGAUGAUCACCAAAGUCAAGCCUAGAGCAAAACUGGGAGCAAAGCCCCGGGGAUGCUCAGGGGAAGCAGGGCUGCUCUGUUACCUCAUGCUGUAGAGGACAUGCCCAUCGGGGAACACUCGCAGCAUGAUGUUGUCCGUGGUGGUGUCAUGAAUGAAGGACCUCUUGGAAUGCACAAAGAAGACAUCAGGCACCCAGAUCUUCUUCACCAGCCUGCCAUCAAAGGUCAUGCUCUUGUUGUUGGUGCUGGGAAACGAGAGACGCUCAUCCUUCCAGUAGUGCCUUAAGUACAAGGUCAUAGUGAAAUCCUUCAAAAUAGGGAAGAGAACAAUAAAGGAAGAGAGUUCUGUCAGUGCUGCGCUCUACAACUAGGGCACACCAGAAAGAAAACUCACUCCCACCUGAUAGAUGAGAUCUCUCCACUCUCAACUCCUGAUUCUUUCCUAGGUCAAUGUUCUCUGUCAGUAGAUUUUCCCAACAAAAUAAUUUCAACCAAAACAAAGCAUAGCCUAAUAAUGACUUUAUUACAGUACCCAGUAAUGUUCAGUCCCAAACAGGAUAUAAACAUGCCCCAAGAGAAGCAACGCUAUGCAGAAAUGAUUCUUCAAUUCUGGCAAAAUUAUCUUAGAGGACUAUGGUAGCAGUAUGAUGAUCAAGAGGAAAACCUGAAAGUUAGUUCAAUGGUCAGGCUAAACACUAAGCAAUUUAUCCCCAAAAGUACUAAACCAGGACACAGUGACAACCAGUUACCCUAACUCUCUGCUUCAAAGGGCUGUCUCACAACAGCCAUGCAUUUCCAGUAGGUUUUUCAUUAAUUUGUCAGAGAAGGCUCUGGUGCCAGACCUCACCUUGCUGCCCAGCACAGACCUCUCUGACCAUGGCAGAGACUGGCCAGGGGGACACUUCUGCUCACCCACCUGCAAGUCCCCACCUUAUCAGACUGGUCCCAGGCUCCCUCACUGCUUAUCCCAGGGAUGCUGCCAGCUCCUGUUCCCUACUGGACACUGGCCACCUUCCCCUUACAUCUACAGUCCCAAAGAAACACUUCCAGCAACUACUGCCACUGGCAGAGCUUAGGUUGCAUCCCAGCUAGAAGAAUCAGCCUCGGGGGCUGGACAUCAAGCUCAUCAGUUUGACUAGAGCUGGGAAAAAGGGAACCAAGGAAGAGGCACAACUUCUGGUUUCUUAGGAGUCAGUGCAAGUUAUGGUAGAAGUCAGAAAAGGAAUAAAGAAGAACCUGGCAAUUUAGGGUUUCCAGUUGCCUGGCCAUGACAUGAGAUAGAGGGACAUGGGGCUGCAGGAGAGGAGGACCAUUCUCAUGUUCAACUCCAGCCAGCACCUCAGUACAACACAGACACUUGCUCAUUCCUCUCUCCCACCACCUCCAGCCAAUCUUAUGGGGAGUAGACUUAGAAGAAGCUGUGUUGAGAUAAAAACAGUUUAGAAAUUGAAAUAAAUAGUAAUAAGAAGAAUAAUGAAAGGAAGAUGAAAAGAUAUAGAGAGGCAAAACUCCAGAGAAACAAGCGAUGCACAAUGUAGUUGCUGACAGAUGCCCAGCAUGUCCUCCAGCAGUGAUCCACCCCUCCCAGCCAACUCCCCACAUUUAUACACUGGGCAAGAUGUUCUGUAGUGUGGAAUAUCCCUUUGGCCAGUUCAGGUCAGCUGUCCUGGCCGUGCUCCCUCCUGGCUUCUUGUGCCCCUCCUCAGGAGCAGAGCAGGAGACACUGGAAAGUCCUUGACUCAGGGUAAGCACUGCUGAGCCACAACAAAAGCACUGUGUUAUCAGUAUCAUUCUCAGACUAAAUCCAAAACAUAGCACUGUACCAGCUACUAAGAAGAAAAUUGGCUCUAUCCAGGCAAAACCAGGACAGCCAGGCAGCCUGAGGCUGUGGCUGCAAAAUGCCUCUGGGCAGCUCCAUCAUCAGAGCACAGGGGAACGGGGACCAGGCAGGCACCCUCAGCAUUGCUUACAACCACUGUAGAGGAGGGAGAAGAGACUGUCUGAAGGCACAACACAAGAGGGAACUUACUGCUUUCCACCCCUCUCCCUGUCCUAAAAGACUGGAGCUUCUCAUCUUUCACCUUCAGCCCCUUUCUGUCUCCAAAGAGCCAACACAGCGGCCCCUGCAAUGGCCAACUCUUCUCUCUCUCCAGCGGCCAACACGGUGCACCAAAUGCUGCCAACACAAAGUGGCAGCUGACAACACCUUCUAAGUAUGAAAUCCAGCUUAAGGAGGCUUUGCCAUGACAUGAUUCAAAAGAGGCAGUGUGCUGACUGCUUGUUCCUUUCUAACCAGCACACACACUAUUUACAAGCAAGAAAAGGGGUUUAUUUCAGCACCAACAAAUAGGAAAGUCCCUCGGAAAACAAGGUUUUACAGCAAAUUGGGAGAAUGAUAGUACAUGCCAGAGGCACAGCCAAUGAGUCUACACAAGCACCUCAAUUUUGGCAGCCUAUUUCAUGUUUGUUCCAAGCUCCAGGCAGCCUCAAGAGCAUGUCCUGCUACUGCACACAGCAGCAGCCCAUCCACACCAACCAGACAGGCACCAGUUUUAAACCCACAUGCCUUUAAACAGCCCCUGGCUGCUCUCACUGUCAUGCACAGCCUUGCAGAUACAGUGGGUUGGGGCUGGUGAUGCUUCAGUCUGGUCUUUCUUUGGGGCACCAGGUACCUCCUCAAGCAGUGACAGGUAAGGCCUGCCCAGCCCAGGGCACCUGAUUUUCAAGGCCACUUCAGAGCAGCUUGAAACAAGCCCUGCCUGCAGCUCUGC